RGGGUGUAGCUCCAAUUGGCAGAGCAGCGGAUUCCAAAUCCGCGUGUUGGGAGUUCGAAUCUCUCCACCCCUGCCA
Molecule: transfer RNA, 76 nt
Filed under: Vibrio parahaemolyticus
Lineage: Bacteria; Pseudomonadati; Pseudomonadota; Gammaproteobacteria; Vibrionales; Vibrionaceae
Description: tRNA-Trp
Source: RNAcentral